RNAcentral lists this ribosomal RNA (442 nucleotides) under uncultured bacterium. RNAcentral describes it as "partial 16S ribosomal RNA". It matches the Rfam family "Bacterial small subunit ribosomal RNA", at positions 338 to 795 of the family's 1533-position model. The record is from RNAcentral.
CCUACGGGAGGCAGCAGUAGGGAAUCUUCCACAAUGGGCGAAAGCCUGAUGGAGCAACGCCGCGUGCAGGAUGAAGGCCUUCGGGUUGUAAACUGCUUUUAUAAGCGAGAAAUAUGAUGGUAACUUAUGAAUAAGGAUCGGCUAACUACGUGCCAGCAGCCGCGGUCAUACGUAGGAUCCGAGCAUUAUCCGGAGUGACUGGGUGUAAAGAGUUGCGUAGGUGGCAUAAUAAGUAGCUAGUGAAAUCUGGUGGCUCAACCAUUCAGACUAUUAGCUAAACUGUUAAGCUCGAGACCGUUAGGGGUAACUGGAAUUUCUAGUGUAGGAGUGAAAUCCGUAGAUAUUAGAAGGAACACCAAUAGCGUAGGCAGGUUGCUGGGACGGUUCUGACACUAAGGCACGAAAGCGUAGGGAGCAAACGGGAUUAGAUACCCGUGUAGUC